GCGAACGCUGGCGGCAGGCCUAACACAUGCAAGUCGAACGAACUCUUCGGAGUUAGUGGCGGACGGGUGAGUAACACGUGGGAACGUGCCUUUAGGUUCGGAAUAACUCAGGGAAACUUGAGCUAAUACCGGAUGUGCCCUUCGGGGGACAGAUUUAUCGCCUUUAGAGCGGCCCGCGUCUGAUUAGCUAGUUGGUGAGGUAAAGGCUCACCAAGGCGACGAUCAGUAGCUGGUAUGAGAGGAUGAUCAGCCACAUUGGGACUGAGACACGGCCCAAACUCCUACGGGAGGCAGCAGUGGGGAAUCUUGCGCAAUGGGCGAAAGCCUGACGCAGCCAUGCCGCGUGAAUGAUGAAGGUCUUAGGAUUGUAAAAUUCUUUCACCGGGGACGAUAAUGACGGUACCCGGAGAAGAAGCCCCGGCUAACUUCGUG
Molecule: ribosomal RNA, 432 nt
Filed under: uncultured bacterium
Lineage: Bacteria
Description: partial 16S ribosomal RNA
Rfam family: Bacterial small subunit ribosomal RNA
Source: RNAcentral